Long non-coding RNA from Chenopodium quinoa (quinoa), 1710 nucleotides. RefSeq lists it as uncharacterized. NCBI's taxonomy places the organism in Eukaryota, Viridiplantae, Streptophyta, Magnoliopsida, Caryophyllales, Amaranthaceae. The transcript is spliced from 6 exons. The record is from RefSeq and is a predicted model, not a curated record.
CUCACCAUGGCUCUCCUUCACGCAUAGGUUGUCCUCCAUUGAAGCGCAUUCUGGGCUUUCUCACCUCCAUUGCCGCGCAACUCCUCUCUUUCUCUCCAUAUAUAGCUAUAUCCUCCAUUGAAGCGCAUACUGUCGAGCUUUCUGACCUCCAUUGAAGCGCAUUUCAAGCUUUCCAACUCCAUUGUAGCAGCUUCGAGCUAGGGUUUUUCAUUGAAGCGCGCACGGCUCUACCUCCACCACAACGGCCUCCUUAUCACGGCAGCAGGGCCUUCUUUUUCUAGGGUUUAUCGUCAAUUCCCCCCUUUUUCUUUGAUCUUUUUUGUUCGAUAUUUUUUUAUUAUUGAAGAUUUCUUGUGUACUAUGUGUGUUAGUGUGUGAUUGUUGUUUGUUUUUGUUUCUUUGAGAUGUACUGGUACAACUGUUAGUGUGUGAUGAAACAUGAUUGAUUGAAAUUAUGUUGUUCAAGCUUGAUGGUAUGUCUCUUUUCUCAACAUUGAUUGAAUUUAUAUGAUGAAUCAAGUGUUGUGUUUGGUAUCUGAAUCGUAUUUGUUCUUCAUGGUUUUCAGCGAAGAGCUGAGUUGAAGGGGAGGGUUAGAUGAGCUUUGAAGCACUCGUAGUCAAUUGAAUUGCGCACUAAGGAUGUAAGUGUGAUAUUGCACUUAUGUGUAUUUGAUAUUUGAUCUUGUGGAAAUUGUUGUCAAAAUUAAAAUCAGUGUACCUGUUACAAUGUUGUAUUGUUUGUUUGUUAUAUUAUUAGUUUAAUUAAAGCAGGGCCCGGGGGGGGGGGGGGGUAGUGUUGUGGUAUACUUCCUCCACGGCUCUGCUCCUUUAACAACUUGUACGUUUUGCAUGGAGAUAAGGAGAGUAAAAAAAUAGAGAUUAGAGUGGGUGAGUGAGUGGAUCCUGGAUGCAGGGGUCCAACUCAAAGGAAAUGUAGAGAGGACAACUUACAAAUGUUAACUUGUUAGCUUGGAAGAUGCUAGCUUGUUAGGAGGAUAGGAGAGUAAUUUCAAGGUAUUGCAAUGCGUGUACAUAUAUAUCAGUAUAUGCUGUAUAUAUAUAAAUGCAUAGCAUUCUCUCUUCAUUGACAAGCAAUAUAAUGACAUUACAUACCAACUGCUACUUUUGUUGCUGAGAAAGAAGCUUGGCGUAGAAAAGCAAUCCAAGAACGGGUGCAAGACUUCCGAGACUUCACUGGAAUCCCCAUUACAAGUCACAUUGUCUCAAUUAUAGUGGGAAGUGAAGAGAAUUCCUUGCUAGCCAGUCGGUAUGCUGAAAUCUGGAUUUCAUGUCACUGCAAUUAGACCACCAACAGUCCCUCCUAAUUCUUGCAGACUGAGAAUAACUUUGAGCGCUGCUAAUCAUGCUUCUUAUGCGUUAAUAGUUAUUUUCAGAAGAAUCCUUCACCUACUAGUUGUGAUUUUGGGGGUGCUGCUCAGCUAGUCAACACUAAUCCUAUCAAGGGUCAAAAUUAGUUCUCGAGGGAAGACACAAUGCUGAUACAGGAUGAUCUGAGCUGAGACUGAGAGGAAAUGCUUAGGAGUAAAGGUCGCUGCACUCGACUAACGCUAUGAUCGAAAUGCUUCUAAUGCAAGCUUAAUUAGUCUUAGUCUGCCUGAGAGCCUUUUGCAUGUCCAUGUUGUUUGUGCUUAUGUAACAUUGCAUGUUAUUUUUUUUUGAUGAAAAUUGUAAUAUUAUAGCCUUUUAUAA